This 332-nucleotide ribosomal RNA is filed under the name uncultured eukaryote. Its description in RNAcentral is "partial 18S ribosomal RNA". It matches the Rfam family "Eukaryotic small subunit ribosomal RNA", at positions 1470 to 1796 of the family's 1831-position model. The record is from RNAcentral.
CCCUUAGAUGUUCUGGGCCGCACGCGCGCUACACUGUUCGACGCAGCGAGUCUUAACCUUGACCGAAAGGUUUGGGUAAUCUUCAGCAAAGUCGAACGUGAUGGGGAUCGAUCAUUGCAAUUAUUGAUCGUGAACGAGGAAUUCCUAGUAAGUGCAAGUCAUCAGCUUGCGCUGAUUACGUCCCUGCCCUUUGUACACACCGCCCGUCGCUACUACCGAUUGAAUGGUUUAGUGAGAUCUCUGGAUUGACGCUGGCUAGGGGGCGACCCUUGGCCAGACUGCUCGAGAAACUGCUCAAACUUGAUCAUUUAGAGGAAGUAAAAGUCGUAACG